This is a long non-coding RNA of Thunnus maccoyii (southern bluefin tuna), 617 nucleotides long. RefSeq lists it as uncharacterized. The transcript has 3 exons. The record is from RefSeq and is a predicted model, not a curated record. NCBI's taxonomy places the organism in Eukaryota, Metazoa, Chordata, Actinopteri, Scombriformes, Scombridae.
UUCCCUGCAUGAUCUUGUGAAUCCAGCUGUCUCUCAAGGAGGCAUUGCGCCGAGAAAGUCACUCCACUGAUGACAAACACACCCAGCCAACUAAACAGAUAAUGAGCAAAUUUUGUUCAGCACUCCCUCACUCCACCGAGAGGCAGGUCCUUUUCAGACGGCUGGCUGGACUCCCGCUGUUUUAUGGGAAGUAUUGUGAUCCCACAAGCUCUCUCAGGGGGGAUCAGCACUUACGAGGGCCGAUAGAGCUGCUGAUUUGAUCUUCUCUUCUUUCACAGCCUUUCUCGAGUUUUCAUCAAAACUUCUUGGCCCUACUCACCAUGGGAAGCCUCAGCACAAAUGUGAUUCCCUGUGUCCGUGAAACAGACAUCAUCUGUGACAGUGGAGACACUGAUGAGGACAGUGAUACUAGAGAAAAAAGAGAUGAACUUAACAUCAACCCAGCCACAUGAAAGCAGUGGAACUCUAAAUAUUCAGCAAUGCUUCAAACAGUUCUUACAAUAUUUAAAAGCCAUUCCUUCCCAACAGACAUUCAUCCUCACUUUAGUGAGCAGCAUGAGUCAUGAAUGUACCCUUUGCAAGAGUUCAGACAUAAUAAAGGGGCAUUAAAUAAUCUA